CGCCCUUAGAGUUUGAUCCUGGCUCAGAACGAACGCUGGCGGCGUGGAUAAGACAUGCAAGUGGAACGCUGGUCGUCGGGUAGCAAUAUCCGGUGACCGGAGUCGCGAACGGGUGAGUAACACGUGGGGAAUGUGCCGUGAAGACCGGAAUAACUCCGAGAAAUCGGAGCUAAUGCCGGAUGUGGUGGGGCGGGGCAUCCCGCUUCAACCAAAGCCGGGGACCGCAAGGCCUGGCGCUUCAUGAUCAUCCCGCGGCCUAUCAGCUAGUUGGCGGGGUAACGGCCCACCAAGGCGAAGACGGGUAGCUGGUCUGAGAGGACGACCAGCCACACUGGAACUGAGACACGGUCCAGACACCUACGGGUGGCAGCAGUCGAGAAUUUUUCACAAUGGGCGAAAGCCUGAUGGAGCGACGCCGCGUGGGGGAUGAAGGGCUUCGGCUCGUAAACCCCUGUCAUUCGCGAGCAAGGUCGUUGGCCGAACAAGCCGAUGACUUGAUAGUAGCGAAAGAGGAAGGGACGGCUAACUCUGUGCCAGCAGCCGCGGUAAUACAGAGGUCCCGAGCGUUGUUCGGAUUCACUGGGCGUAAAGGGUGCGCAGGCGGCCGGGUAAGUCUGAUGUGAAAUCUCCGGGCUCAACCCGGAAAGGGCAUCGGAUACUAUCCGGCUAGAGGGUUGGA
This 679-nucleotide ribosomal RNA is filed under the name uncultured Verrucomicrobiota bacterium. RNAcentral's name for it is "bacterial SSU rRNA". It matches the Rfam family "Bacterial small subunit ribosomal RNA", at positions 1 to 653 of the family's 1533-position model. The record is from RNAcentral. Lineage: Bacteria; Pseudomonadati; Verrucomicrobiota.